Molecule: non-coding RNA, 163 nt
Filed under: Candidatus Omnitrophota bacterium
Lineage: Bacteria; Pseudomonadati; Candidatus Omnitrophota
Description: Candidatus Omnitrophica bacterium (sediment metagenome) 6S RNA
Rfam family: 6S / SsrS RNA
About the family: E. coli 6S RNA was the first non coding RNA to be sequenced, but its function was unknown until recently. It consists of 184 nucleotides that fold into an extended hairpin structure with a large single-stranded internal bulge.
Source: RNAcentral
UUUACCCUGCGCUGUGCGACAGGAUCUCGGAUGUAUUGAACCACAAAACAAUACUACGGGAGCCGGUCACCUGUUGGCGCGCCUUCGGCGGCCUCAAACUGGCACCCACUUGAGAAUGAUGGUUCUCAUUUACACCAGAUUCAACGGCAGAGGCGGGGUUUUU